AUAACAAUACAGGACUCUUUAGAGGCCCUGUAAUUGUAAUGAGUCCACUUGAAAUCCUUUAACUCUGAUCAAUUGGAGGGCAAGUCUGGUGCAGAGCGACUGACCCGUGGUGGAAAAUGUAUUAUUUAGCAGUUUAGCACCCA
Molecule: ribosomal RNA, 143 nt
Filed under: Pelobates cultripes (western spadefoot toad)
Lineage: Eukaryota; Metazoa; Chordata; Amphibia; Anura; Pelobatidae
Description: SSU_rRNA_eukarya
Source: RNAcentral